RNAcentral lists this long non-coding RNA (1733 nucleotides) under Marmota monax (woodchuck). Lineage: Eukaryota; Metazoa; Chordata; Mammalia; Rodentia; Sciuridae. The record is from RNAcentral.
GAAAGGAGCUCUCUCUGUUUGCUGCUUAGGCCCAGAGAUAUGGUGUUGGUCAUCUGUGGACUGAGUCCUCUAAACCAUGAGCCAAAUCAACUUUUCCUCUUCUAGGUUGUUCUUAUCAGUUCUUUUGGUGAUAGAGAUGCAAAGCUGAAAACAAUGAUAAAGAGAAUAGUCUAAUUGGAAGAUAUAAUAAUUAUAAGUAUUUAUGACCUAAAUAUUGGUGGGCCCAAUUUCAUAAAAUAAACUAAACAAAAUAAAAGUUUUAAUAGACCCCAGUGAAAAGAUAGUAGGGACAUCAGUGCACCACUCUCACUAAUAGACAGAUUAUACAGAUAGAAAAUCAACAAAGACACAUCAUAUUUAAGCUAUACUAUAGAUAAAAUGGACUUAAAGGACAUCUAUAUAAUAUUUAUCUAACAAUGACUGAAUGGAUUUUCUUUUUUAGCCCUUCAUGGAACAUUAUCCAAAAUUAGUCAUAUAGUAUGCCAUAAAGCAAGUUUUAAUAUACAUAAAAAUAGAAAUAAUUCCUUGAAUCUUUUUAUAUCAUAAUGAAAUGGAAUUUGUAAGAGCAAGGAAAAACUAUAGAAACUAUACAAAGAAUACAUGGAUAUUGAACAGUAUACUUUUGAAAAAUGUAUGGGUCAUUGAAGAAGUCAUGGGGGGAAAAACAGGAAAUCCAUGGGAAAGAAGAGAAAAUACAACACACCAGAAUCUGCGGGAUACAGCAAAGGCAGUUCCAAGAUUGAAGCACACAUGAAAAAGAGAGAACAACAAAAAAUUACCCAAAGAAAUUGCAAAAAAGCAACCUGAUGACGCCUCUCAGGGUUUUAGAAAGACAAGAACAAACCAAUCUCAAAGCUCAUAGGAAGAAAGAAAUAAUAAUGUUCAGAGUUGAUAUUAAUGAAAAAAACUAGAGAAAUAAUACAAAGGAUCAAUGAAAAAUGGAAAUGCUGCUUUGAAAAAGUAAGCAAGACUGAUAAACCCUUAGACAAAUUAUCAAAUAAAAGAAUGAGAAGCUUCAAAUUAGCAAAACUAGAGAUGAAAAUGGAAAUAUUACUACAGACAAAACUGAAAUUAUGAAAAUACUUAGGAAUUAUUUGGGAAACUUACAUUUCAACAAAUUGAAAAAUCUAGAAGAAAUGGAUAAAUUUUUACAUACAUUAAACCUACCAAAAUUGAACCAAGAUGAUAUAGAAAAAACCUAACCAGACCAACAACAAGCAAUGCAAUUAAAACAGUUAAAAAAGAAAAAAAAAAAGCCCAGCACCAGACAUAGUCACAGCUAAAUUUUACCAUAUCUAUCUUAAAAGAACAAUCAUCACCAAUACUCCUUAAAUUAUUCCAUCAUUAGAAAGGGUGAAAAUGCUUCUAAACUCAUUCUGCAAAGUUGUUAUCACCCUGAUACUAAAACCAAAUAAAGACACUUAAAGGAAGGAAAGAAAAUUAAGGAACAAUAUCCAUGAUGAACAUAUAUGCAAAAAUUCUUACUAAAAUAUUAGCAAAUAAAAUUCAACAGCACACUAAAACAAUCGUACACCCUGAUCAAGUUAAUCUUGUUUUUUUUAAUGCAAGGAUAGUUGAACAUAAUGCAAACAAAUAAAUGUAAUACAACAUAUAAAUAGACUCAAAGAUAGAAAUCAUAUGAUCAUCUCAAUAAAUACAUAAAAAUUCUCAAAAGUACAACUCCUCUUCAUGAUAAAAGCCCUGAGUAACUAGGAAUAGAAGAAUCUUGCCUC